AUGACGAACGCCUCGGGUGGCCCUGCCGCUGGCCCCGCCCCUGCGAGUGAUGGACGGGAGCGGCAGCCGAUCGAGGGCUUCGCUGCUGAGGCGGGCGCUGCGGCUGAGCCGGGCGGCACCCUAGAAGAUGGACAUUUGACAGGCCACAAUAGACUGCUCCUUUCCCAGCUACACUUUAGGAAUCAAGACCUUCAUCUUGGAAGACGCUGGCCAUUCUCUGGGAAAUUACUGAAGAGGCACAAGUGAACUGAAGCUUAGUGAAAGAAGUAUAUCUGCAGGUGCUGGGGCGUAUCACUGGCAAAUCUAACCAAUACAUUUUAAGAUGUAACUGCACACAUGUUGCUGUGCCUUCCCGUCAAAGGUUGCUGCUGCUGUAGUAAUGUCAGCAGCAGAAAAGAUCACAUACUUCACAGAGAGAGUGGUUGCACACUGGAACAGGCUCCCCAGGGAAGUGGUCACUGCACCGAGCCUGACUGAAUUUAAGAAGAGAUUGGACUGUGCACUUAGUCACAUGGUCUGAACUUGGGUAGACCUGUGCGGUGUCAAGAGUUGGACUUGAUGAUCCUUAAGGGUCCCUUCCAACUCAGGAUAUUCUAUGAUUCUAUGAUUCUAUACCUACAUUCGAAGAUCACUGUAUGAAAUCCUAUCUGUGUCCUUUCCUGUGGAGGUGAUAAGUCCAAACAGAGCAAUGGAGAUGAUGCCUCAGGAGGUGAGAUUGUCACAGACAUAACAUUUGGAACCUAUAGGUACCAUGAUAAUUUUAUUUAUUUAAAUGUAAAUGCAGUUAUUUUAAUAAGGACUAAAAUAGAUAAAAACUUAUCCUAAUCUCUGCAGAACACUUCCUCCCAGGUGCUUCUUUCAAAGUUUUUAUACAGUUAGUUUAAUGCAUUGUGGGUAGCCCACUGAUAUGGCUAGACCAGAUCCACCACUUACAACUCCACUCAAAUCAACAGGACUUCCAUGGCUUGCAGUAGAUUGUGACCUCUAAGAGUUAGGCCUAAAUUUGUGAGAGAGACCGU
This 1019-nucleotide long non-coding RNA is filed under the name Anas platyrhynchos platyrhynchos (common mallard). RNAcentral's name for it is "lncRNA (ENSAPLG00000019258.1)". The record is from RNAcentral. Lineage: Eukaryota; Metazoa; Chordata; Aves; Anseriformes; Anatidae.